RNAcentral lists this ribosomal RNA (492 nucleotides) under uncultured bacterium. RNAcentral's name for it is "partial 16S ribosomal RNA". It matches the Rfam family "Bacterial small subunit ribosomal RNA", at positions 29 to 507 of the family's 1533-position model. The record is from RNAcentral.
AGUGAACGCUGGCGGUAGGCCUAACACAUGCAAGUCGAACGGCAGCACAGUAAGAGCUUGCUCUUACGGGUGGCGAGUGGCGGACGGGUGAGGAAUACAUCGGAAUCUACUUUUUCGUGGGGGAUAACGUAGGGAAACUUACGCUAAUACCGCAUACGACCUACGGGUGAAAUCAUGGGAUCUUCGGACCUUGCGCGAUUGAAUGAGCCGAUGUCGGAUUAGCUAGUUGGCGGGGUAAAGGCCCACCAAGGCGACGAUCCGUAGCUGGUCUGAGAGGAUGAUCAGCCACACUGGAACUGAGACAAGGUACAGACUACUACGGGAGGCAGCAGUGGGGAAUAUUGGACAAUGGGCGCAAGCCUGAUCCAGCCAUACCGCGUGGGUGAAGAAGGCCUUCGGGUUGUAAAGCCCUUUUGUUGGGAAAGAAAAGCAGCAGGUUAAUACCCCGCUGUUCUGACGGUACCCAAAGAAUAAGCACCGGCUAACUUCGUG